This 111-nucleotide transfer RNA is filed under the name Pyrenophora tritici-repentis. Its description in RNAcentral is "tRNA-Ala". The record is from RNAcentral. Lineage: Eukaryota; Fungi; Ascomycota; Dothideomycetes; Pleosporales; Pleosporaceae.
UCGUAUUUGCUUGAUUUCGCGCAAGUUGAUGAUCGCGGUAUAUAUAAGAUGGUUGACCCGGAGGUUUUCAAUGACAUUGGAUUGCGGUUGGCUUGUGUCUGAUGGUACGGU